Molecule: non-coding RNA, 1038 nt
Organism: Microcebus murinus (gray mouse lemur)
Lineage: Eukaryota; Metazoa; Chordata; Mammalia; Primates; Cheirogaleidae
Source: RefSeq, a predicted model, not a curated record
GGAAGGGACCACCUUGCUGAGAGUACCCAGGCUUGCCCCAGGGGAAUCGCAGAUGGCCCAAGUCAGAGCAAGCCAAGGGAGCACGGGCCUCAUGUCCACUGGCUGCAGGUUUUAAGAGCACAUACCCACAGGGAUAAGGUGUGAUCCACAUUCCCAUGGCAGGUACCAGUAAGUGUCCAGAUAACUUCCCCAAGGCACCCUCUUGGGGAGGAGAAGCAGAGGAGCAGAGUGCUGAAGGACCCAGCAUUUCCUCGAAAGGAGCUGUGUCAAAGCGAAAGGAGACUGUCUAAAGCAGAAGAGACUGGGCUCCCAUUAGCCAGCAGGGCCAGACUUCCCUGCUGCCCCAGGAGGAAGCACUUGUAAGAAAAAAGGGGUCAGCCAGGGCAGUGGCCUGAGGCACGUCCACAAGGAAGAAGAAGGAACAGCAGAGAGUGAGGAGAGACAAGGCCAAGCAGGAGGGAUUGGUCGGACAGAGUAGAGUUUUGCUGCAGAAAACGAAAAUCCUUACAACAUCUAGAAGCAGCCUCAUUUGCAUUUUCAAACCGAAAAUCCCCAGUACUCCCAGAGGACUGCCGCUUCUCUAGGCUUAGGCGAUCAGUGAAGGAAUGGAUGACUUCACCUUCCACAAGAGGCAGGUCCUAAAAAUGUUUUGCACAAGACAAAACUUGAGUAAAUCAUCCAUAUUUUAAGUGCCUUAGCAGAGGUCAUUGUCUUAGCAAUCUUGAAGAGAUCCUCUUUCCAAAGCAAAGAAGCUGAUAGUGAUGUUAACACUCUGUUUUGUAAACAACUGUUUUGGUGUAGUGCCAGGGUCCCAGUUUCCAUCCUGAGCCAAUUCUCAGAGCCCUCUGGGUUUCUGGUAGGAGACUGGUAGGGCUGCCAGAUCUAGAGGCCAUUUGAGUGACACUAAGCCCCCUCCUGCAAGAGACAUCAUCCUCAGGGAAGAGGGCUUCCGUGCAAGCUUGACCCAAUAUACAAAAGGAUUGGAGGGGAAGCCGAUUCAGAGCUACAGCCUGGCCUGUGUUAGCCGUUUCUUUCCAG